This 495-nucleotide ribosomal RNA is filed under the name uncultured bacterium. Its description in RNAcentral is "bacterial SSU rRNA". It matches the Rfam family "Bacterial small subunit ribosomal RNA", at positions 29 to 518 of the family's 1533-position model. The record is from RNAcentral.
AUGAACGCUAGCGACAGGCCUAACACAUGCAAGUCAGGGGCAGCACAAGGAGCAAUCUGAGGUGGCGACCGGCGCACGGGUGAGUAACACGUAUGCAACCUGCCUGUAAGCGGGGAAUAACCCGUUGAAAGACGGACUAAUACCGCAUAAUACUAAAUUACUGCAUGGUAAUUUAUUUAAACAUUUAUGGCUUACAGAUGGGCAUGCGCAUGAUUAGCUAGUUGGAGAGGUAACGGCUCCCCAAGGCAACGAUCAUUAGGAGUUCUGAGAGGAAGGUCCCCCCACACUGGUACUGAGACACGGACCAGACUCCUACGGGAGGCAGCAGUGAGGAAUAUUGGUCAAUGGACGAGAGUCUGAACCAGCCAAGUCGCGUGCAGGAAGAAUGUCCCUAUGGAUUGUAAACUGCUUUUGCAGGGGAAUAAAGUGCAUCACGUGUGAUGUUUUGUAUGUACUCUGCGAAUAAGGAUCGGCUAACUCCGUGCCAGCCGCCGC